This 412-nucleotide long non-coding RNA is filed under the name Monodelphis domestica (gray short-tailed opossum). Its description in RNAcentral is "lncRNA (ENSMODG00000039489.1)". Lineage: Eukaryota; Metazoa; Chordata; Mammalia; Didelphimorphia; Didelphidae. The record is from RNAcentral.
CUACUUCCUGUCUCUAUGGUUCCUCCUUCCUUUCUCAUUGGUUUCUCCAUCCUGUCUCUAUGGUUUCUACCUUUCACUGUGGGCUGGUUAUCCCUACAUAUGUCUAUGGUCCCAGUAAUGACACAUCCCUCCAAUGAUGAAGCAAGAAGGGAGGACUUGAGGUCUCUAAGUCCAUCUCCUCUCCUGAAAUAUCCACCAAUGUUGACUGGCAGGGAAGGUCAAGUGGACAGUACAAUCAGAAUAAAGAAUACAAUUCCCUUCAAAAGCAAGAGAGUCAUCAAGGUUUGGUGCCAAGAGUAUAGUCAAGAAGACUGGCGAUGGCCCAGGAUGCAGUGGAGGAAAAAGAAAACAAUAGGGAAUACCCUCCACAGUAAAUCACAGAGGGCUUUCCUCCAUGAAUUUACAACAGGCU